GAACGCUGGCGGCAGGCCUAACACAUGCAAGUCGAACGGUAACAGGAAGCAGCUUGCUGCUUCGCUGACGAGUGGCGGACGGGUGAGUAAUGUCUGGGAAGCUGCCUGAUGGAGGGGGAUAACUACUGGAAACGGUAGCGAAUACCGCAUAAUGUCGCAAGACCAAAGAGGGGGACCUUCGGGCCUCUUGCCAUCGGAUGUGCCCAGAUGGGAUUAGCUUGUUGGUGGGGUAACGGCUCACCAAGGCGACGAUCCCUAGCUGGUCUGAGAGGAUGACCAGCCACACUGGAACUGAGACACGGUCCAGACUCCUACGGGAGGCAGCAGUGGGGAAUAUUGCACAAUGGGCGCAAGCCUGAUGCAGCCAUGCCGCGUGUAUGAAGAAGGCCUUCGGGUUGUAAAGUACUUUCAGCGGGGAGGAAGGGAGUAAAGUUAAUACCUUUGCUCAUUGACGUUACCCGCAGAAGAAGCACCGGCUAACUCCGUGCCAGCAGCCGCGGUAAUACGGAGGGUGCAAGCGUUAAUCGGAAUUACUGGGCGUAAAGCGCACGCAGGCGGUUUGUUAAGUCAGAUGUGAAAUCCCCGGGCUCAACCUGGGAACUGCAUCUGAUACUGGCAAGCUUGAGUCUCGUAGAGGGGGGUAGAAUUCCAGGUGUAGCGGUGAAAUGCGUAGAGAUCUGGAGGAAUACCGGUGGCGAAGGCGGCCCCCUGGACGAAGACUGACGCUCAGGUGCGAAAGCGUGGGGAGCAAACAGGAUUAGAUACCCUGGUAGUCCACGCCGUAAACGAUGUCGACUUGGAGGUUGUGCCCUUGAGGCGUGGCUUCCGGAGCUAACGCGUUAAGUCGACCGCCUGGGGAGUACGGCCGCAAGGUUAAAACUCAAAUGAAUUGACGGGGGCCCGCACAAGCGGUGGACAUGUGGUUUAAUUCGAUGCAACGCGAAGAACCUUACCUGGUCUUGACAUCCACGGAAGUUUUCAGAGAUGAGAAUGUGCCUUCGGGAACCGUGAGACAGGUGCUGCAUGGCUGUCGUCAGCUCGUGUUGUGAAAUGUUGGGUUAAGUCCCGCAACGAGCGCAACCCUUAUCCUUUGUUGCCAGCGGUCCGGCCGGGAACUCAAAGGAGACUGCCAGUGAUAAACUGGAGGAAGGUGGGUAUGACGUCAAGUCAUCAUGGCCCUUACGACCAGGGCUACACACGUGCUACAAUGGCGCAUACAAAGAGAAGCGACCUCGCGAGAGCAAGCGGACCUCAUAAAGUGCGUCGUAGUCCGGAUUGGAGUCUGCAACUCGACUCCAUGAAGUCGGAAUCGCUAGUAAUCGUGGAUCAGAAUGCCACGGUGAAUACGUUCCUGGGCCUUGUACACACCGCCCGUCACACCAUGGGAGUGGGUUGCAAAAGAAGUAGGUAGCUUAACCUUCGGGAGGGCGCUUACCACUUUGUGAUUCAUGACUGGGGUGAAGUCAUAACAAGGUA
RNAcentral lists this ribosomal RNA (1476 nucleotides) under metagenome. RNAcentral describes it as "bacterial SSU rRNA". It matches the Rfam family "Bacterial small subunit ribosomal RNA". The record is from RNAcentral.